CGCCUUUGGCGGGCGGGCCUAAACAUGCAGUCCAGCGGAUGAGAAGAGCUUGCUCUUCGAUUCAUGGGGGACGGGUGAGUAAUACCUAGGAAUCUGCCUGGUACUGGGGGACAACGUUUCCAACGGAACGCUAAUACCGCAUACGUCCUACGGGAGAAAGCAGGGGACCUUCGGGCCUUGCGCUAUCAGAUGAGCCUAGGUCGGAUUAGCUAUUUGGUGAGGUAAUGGCUCACCAAGGCUACGAUCCGUAACUGGUCUGAGAGGAUGAUCAUUCACACUGGAACUGAAACACGGUCCAGACUCCUACGGGAGGCAGCAGUGGGGAAUAUUGGACAAUGGGCGAAAGCCUGAUCCAGCCAUGCCGCGUGUGUGAAAAAGGUCUUCGGAUUGUAAAGCACUUUAAGUUGGGAGGAAGGGCAGUAAGCGAAUACCUUGCUGUUUUGACGUUACCGACAGAAUAAGCACCGGCUAACUCUGUGCCAGCACCCGCGGUAAUACAGAGGGUGCAAGCGUUAAUCGGAAUUACUGGGCGUAAAGCGCGCGUAGGUGGUUCGUUAAGUUGGAUGUGAAAUCCCCGGGCUCAACCUGGGAACUGCAUCCAAAACUGGCGAGCUAAAUUAGGGCAAAGGGUGGUGGAAUUUCCUGUGUAGCGGUGAAAUGCGUAGAUAUAGGAAGGAACACCAGGGGCGAAGGCGACCACCUGGGCUCAUACUGACACUGAGGUGCGAAAGCGUGGGGAGCAAACAGGAUUAGAUACCUUGGUAAUCCACGCCGUAAACGAUGUCAACUAGCCGUGGGAUUCUUUUGAGAUUUUAGCGGCGCACCUAACGCAUUAAUUUGACCGCCUGGGGUAGUACGGCCUCAAGGUUAAAAUUCAAAUUAAUUGACGGGGGCCCGCACCACCCGUGGAGCUUGUGGUUUUAUUUCAAAAUCAACCG
Molecule: ribosomal RNA, 938 nt
Filed under: Pseudomonas putida
Lineage: Bacteria; Pseudomonadati; Pseudomonadota; Gammaproteobacteria; Pseudomonadales; Pseudomonadaceae
Description: bacterial SSU rRNA
Rfam family: Bacterial small subunit ribosomal RNA
Source: RNAcentral